Molecule: unclassified non-coding RNA, 343 nt
Filed under: soil metagenome
Description: partial contains 5.8S ribosomal RNA, internal transcribed spacer 2, and large subunit ribosomal RNA
Rfam family: 5.8S ribosomal RNA (bases 1-120)
Source: RNAcentral
GAUGAAGAACGCAGCGAAAUGCGAUACGUAGUGUGAAUUGCAGAAUUCAGUGAAUCAUCGAGUCUUUGAACGCACAUUGCGCCCUCUGGUAUUCCGGAGGGCAUGCCUGUCCGAGCGUCAUUGCUGCCCUCAAGCACGGCUUGUGUGUUGGGCUCCGUCCUCCUUCCGGGGGACGGGCCCGAAAGGCAGCGGCGGCACCGCGUCCGGUCCUCAAGCGUAUGGGGCUUUGUCACCCGCUUUGUAGGACUGGCCGGCGCCUGCCGAUCAACCAAACUUUUUUCCAGGUUGACCUCGGAUCAGGUAGGGAUACCCGCUGAACUUAAGCAUAUCAAUAAGCGGAGGA